CCAAUAGCGUAUAUUAAAGUUGUUGCAGUUAAAAAGCUCGUAGUUGAAUUUCGGGGUUAGUAGGUUGGUCAUGCCUCUGGUAUGUACUGGUCUCACUGAUUCCUCCUUCCUGAUGAACCGUAAUGCCAUUAAUUUGGUGUUGCGUGGAAUUUGGACUGUUACUUUGAAAAAAUUAGAGUGUUUAAAGCAGGCUAACGCUUGAAUACAUUAGCAUGGCAUAAUGAAAUAGGACGUUCGAUCCUAUUUUGUUGGUUUCUAGGAUUGACGUAAUGAUUAAUAGGGAUAGUUGGGGGCAUUAGUAUUCAAUUGUCAGAGGUGAAAUUCUUGGAUUUAUUGAAGACUAACUACUGCGAAAGCAUUUGCCAAGGAUGUUUUCAUUAAUCAAGAACGAAAGUUAGGGGAUCGAAGACGAUCAGAUACCGUCGUAGUCUUAACCAUAAACUAUGCCGACUAGGGAUCGGAUGAUGUUAAUUUUUUAAUGACUCAUUCGGCGCCUUACG
This 500-nucleotide ribosomal RNA is filed under the name uncultured Glomeromycotina. RNAcentral's name for it is "partial small subunit ribosomal RNA". It matches the Rfam family "Eukaryotic small subunit ribosomal RNA", at positions 591 to 1092 of the family's 1831-position model. Lineage: Eukaryota; Fungi; Glomeromycota. The record is from RNAcentral.